RNAcentral lists this transfer RNA (74 nucleotides) under bacterium. RNAcentral's name for it is "tRNA-Arg". It matches the Rfam family "tRNA". From Rfam's summary of the family: Transfer RNA (tRNA) molecules are approximately 80 nucleotides in length. Their secondary structure includes four short double-helical elements and three loops (D, anti-codon, and T loops). The record is from RNAcentral.
GCGCCGGUAGCUCAACCGGAUAGAGCAGCGGCCUUCUAAGCCGCAGGUUCAGGGUUCGAGUCCCUGCCGGCGUA